UUUAGUUGUGAAAUGCGAUUGUUCCUAAGUAUUGACUUAAGAAGUUCCUAACGAUAAGAAUUACUUAAUAAGGCAACUGUUUAGGUAUCGUUGGUGAAAUCGGGCAUAAAUGUCCAGCAAACGACGGCAAUGUUGCCAGAUUCCUUUUAGCGGGAAUUUUAAAAUUUUAUAGCAGUUUGGUUUUAAAUUUGACAGUUCUGUUUUCUCAAGUCAAAAAUCUUAACCUUACUUUUACAAGUGAUUAAGAUUAUUUUAUUUACAUGUAAAUUGAAACAAUAAAUAUUGUGCUUUGUCAUAAUUUAAAACUCAUUAUGUUGAAGUCUUUUCCAGUUGAUAAAAUUGCAAUUCAAAAACUUUUAGGUAGAUUUGUACUGUAUGGAUGGCACAGGAAGAGAACAGAGAACAAGAGUACAAGAACAUGAAACAUCUUAUUAUGAAUGUAUAUGUAUGUGAUCCUCAAAAAAUUAUUUUUCAAAACAAGAUAGAGAAUGAGCUUUAAAAUCCCAAGGAUCCUGCAAAAUGUCUAUUUGGUGUACUAGUCGAAUAAUAGUAUCUAAAAAUAAUGAAACUGUUUUAAAACACAUUAUGGGCAUGAGGAUGAUAUAGAGCACUUACAUAAAUACCAAAAUCAGAUAAAUAUCUCUUCAAAGUUUAUUUUGAGACUUUCUUCAAAAAUUAAACUUCAGACUGUCCAGGAUAGCAUAAUAGCAUAGGAGGCAAAUUAAAAAGAAUUAAUUUACUUACAAGAAGAGAUAUCACAAACAUUAAACUCUCUUAUGGCAUUGAUUUGAAAGAUGGGUAUAUGUACAAUGAUGAUGCAACCAGUGUUUAUUUUUGGGUUGAAUGCUUACAGAUUAUUUAUUUUUUCCAAUAUUAUUUUACAAACAACAGGGCAUACUAAUGGAUAUUCAUUCUGAAUUUAACAUUUAUGAUUUUUGUCUUAUUUUCCUUAAUACUGUGCCAAAAGGAAAUGUUAAUUAAGUUUGGCAAAUCCUUUAUCGCAAUCGAUGGAACUCAUGGGCUCAAUUCCUAUGACUUUGAACUUAUGACAGUAUUAGUAAAAGAUGAAUUUGGGAAUGGA
Long non-coding RNA from Diabrotica virgifera virgifera (western corn rootworm), 1081 nucleotides. RefSeq lists it as uncharacterized. NCBI's taxonomy places the organism in Eukaryota, Metazoa, Arthropoda, Insecta, Coleoptera, Chrysomelidae. The record is from RefSeq and is a predicted model, not a curated record. The transcript is spliced from 3 exons.